GCUGGUCGCAUUCCGAGCUAGAACGAGCUGUAGGGCGAGCAGAGGCUGUGACUCAUCCACUUUCUAACCUUUUACACUGCCAUUUACCAUAACUCCUCUGCGAAUGCACCUAUGUGGUGCUCCAGUUACUGGCAACCCUUUCCUGGGCUUCCUAACUUAUGUUGUUAAAGUCUAGCAGAGCGAGCAUUUCCCCAGUUUCAUUCACAACGUUUGGUACCAAGCCGAAGAUCAGACCUAAGAAGUUCUUGGGGAAAAGAUUGGCAGAAGCCCCUCUGCACUGUGUGCCGAGCCUCUCCUCCGAGGGACUAGGACCCGAGGCGGACUGAGCUGUUGGAAGGGACCUCUUUGAAAGACCUCGCCAAAGGCUAAAGACCAGAAGACUCACUGAGGCCAAGGUGAGUGACAUAGAAGACCGUCUCCAAAAGCCACGGUGUGGGUGAAUGACAACAGGAUCAUUUCAACAGCCAUUCCGCCCUUCCAAGCCCGUCCUCACCUUCACCUGAUCAUCGCGGAUGUAGUCUAGACUGUCUGUCUGUUUCAUUUUUAUAUCUAUUUGUUUUUAAAUUCAAUGAUUACAGGUGUUUACUGGAGGAAUUUUUUAACAUAGAGAAUCACAAUUAAAACCACCGU
Long non-coding RNA from Myodes glareolus (Bank vole), 630 nucleotides. RefSeq lists it as uncharacterized. NCBI's taxonomy places the organism in Eukaryota, Metazoa, Chordata, Mammalia, Rodentia, Cricetidae. The record is from RefSeq and is a predicted model, not a curated record.